GACGAACGCUGGCGGCGUGCUUAACACAUGCCAGUCGAACGGAAAGGCCCUGCUUUUGUGGGGUGCUCGAGUGGCGAACGGGUGAGUAACACGUGAGUAACCUGCCCUUGACUUUGGGAUAACUUCAGGAAACUGGGGCUAAUACCGGAUAGGAGCUCCUGCUGCAUGGUGGGGGUUGGAAAGUUUCGGCGGUUGGGGAUGGACUCGCGGCUUAUCAGCUUGUUGGUGGGGUAGUGGCUUACCAAGGCUUUGACGGGUAGCCGGCCUGAGAGGGUGACCGGCCACAUUGGGACUGAGAUACGGCCCAGACUCCUACGGGAGGCAGCAGUGGAGAAUAUUGCACAAUGGGCGGAAGCCUGAUGCAGCAACGCCGCGUGCGGGAUGACGGCCUUCGGGUUGUAAACCGCUUUCGCCUGUGACGAAGCGUGAGUGACGGUAAUGGGUAAAGAAGCACCGGCUAACUACGU
RNAcentral lists this ribosomal RNA (467 nucleotides) under uncultured bacterium. RNAcentral's name for it is "partial 16S ribosomal RNA". It matches the Rfam family "Bacterial small subunit ribosomal RNA", at positions 28 to 506 of the family's 1533-position model. The record is from RNAcentral.